GAACCUGCCAGUGCCAGUGUGUGUAGGAUGACAGCAGGCAUAGCGCUUCAAUAGGAAAAUAUUGUCAAGAUGGCUCGCUGCAACAGCCAAGGAACAGACUGAAGACUACUGUUGCAAUCUCAGCUUUUAAAGAUUGGAUGUGGCAACCUGGGACCAUUAGAGAACGAAAACUGACUGCAAAGGAAGCGAAGGCUCAGGCGCUCCAGCUGCUCUGGGCCAAGCUCUUCAUACCCGCUCUGGAGGGAGGACAUGUAGGCAGGGGGGACUGAGCCACCAGGUUCCCGACCAGAUGCCCUUGUAAAUUCAUGGGUCAUGGAGUUUGGUCCAGAGA
Long non-coding RNA from Epinephelus moara (kelp grouper), 331 nucleotides. RefSeq lists it as uncharacterized. Lineage: Eukaryota; Metazoa; Chordata; Actinopteri; Perciformes; Serranidae. The transcript has 3 exons. The record is from RefSeq and is a predicted model, not a curated record.